CGUAGGGUGCAAGCGUUGUACGGAAUUAUUGGGCAUAAAGAGCUCGUAGGCGGUUUGUCACGUCGGAUGUAGAAAACUCGGGGCUCCAACCCCGAGCCUGCAUACGAUACGGGCAGACUUGAGUGUGGCAGGGGAGUCUGGAAUUCCUGGUGUAGCGGUGAAAUGCGCAGAUAUCAGGAGGAACACCGGUGGCGAAGGCGGGACUCUGGGCCAAUACUGACGCUGAGGAGCGAAAGCGUGGGGAGCGAACAGGAUUAGAUACCCUGGUAGUCCACGCCGUAAACGGUGGGUGCUAGGUGUGGGGAACUUUCCACGUUCUCCGUGCCGCAGCUAACGCAUUAAGCACCCCGCCUGGGGAGUACGGCCGCAAGGCUA
Molecule: ribosomal RNA, 375 nt
Filed under: uncultured organism
Description: bacterial SSU rRNA
Rfam family: Bacterial small subunit ribosomal RNA
Source: RNAcentral